GACGAACCGUGCGAACGUUGUUCGGAAUCACUGGGCUUAAAGGGCGCGUAGGCGGGCCGACGAGUCCGGGGUGAAAGCCCCCAGCUCAACUGGGGAAGCGCCUUGGAUACUUUUGGCCUGGAGGGAGGUAGGGGCGUGCGGAACUUCCGGUGGAGCGGUGAAAUGCGUAGAUAUCGGAAGGAACACCGGUGGCGAAAGCGGCGCGCUGGACCUCUUCUGACGCUGAGGCGCGAAAGCCAGGGGAGCAAACGGG
This 253-nucleotide ribosomal RNA is filed under the name uncultured bacterium. RNAcentral's name for it is "partial 16S ribosomal RNA". It matches the Rfam family "Bacterial small subunit ribosomal RNA", at positions 524 to 776 of the family's 1533-position model. The record is from RNAcentral.